Molecule: ribosomal RNA, 1475 nt
Filed under: Salmonella enterica
Lineage: Bacteria; Pseudomonadati; Pseudomonadota; Gammaproteobacteria; Enterobacterales; Enterobacteriaceae
Also listed under: 1 other name
Description: partial 23S ribosomal RNA
Rfam family: Bacterial large subunit ribosomal RNA
Source: RNAcentral
AGACCCGAAACCCGGUGAUCUAGCCAUGGGCAGGUUGAAGGUUGGGUAACACUAACUGGAGGACCGAACCGACUAAUGUUGAAAAAUUAGCGGAUGACCUGUGGCUGGGGGUGAAAGGCCAAUCAAACCGGGAGAUAGCUGGUUCUCCCCGAAAGCUAUUUAGGUAGCGCCUCGUGAAUUCAUCUCCGGGGGUAGAGCACUGUUUCGGCUAGGGGGCCAUCCCGGCUUACCAACCCGAUGCAAACUGCGAAUACCGGAGAAUGUUAUCACGGGAGACACACGGCGGGUGCUAACGUCCGUCGUGAAGAGGGAAACAACCCAGACCGCCAGCUAAGGUCCCAAAGUCAUGGUUAAGUGGGAAACGAUGUGGGAAGGCCCAGACAGCCAGGAUGUUGGCUUAGAAGCAGCCAUCAUUUAAAGAAAGCGUAAUAGCUCACUGGUCGAGUCGGCCUGCGCGGAAGAUGUAACGGGGCUAAACCAUGCACCGAAGCUGCGGCAGCGACACUGUGUGUUGUUGGGUAGGGGAGCGUUCUGUAAGCCUGUGAAGGUGGCCUGUGAGGGUUGCUGGAGGUAUCAGAAGUGCGAAUGCUGACAUAAGUAACGAUAAAGCGGGUGAAAAGCCCGCUCGCCGGAAGACCAAGGGUUCCUGUCCAACGUUAAUCGGGGCAGGGUGAGUCGACCCCUAAGGCGAGGCCGAAAGGCGUAGUCGAUGGGAAACGGGUUAAUAUUCCCGUACUUGGUGUUACUGCGAAGGGGGGACGGAGAAGGCUAUGUUGGCCGGGCGACGGUUGUCCCGGUUUAAGCGUGUAGGUGUGUGUUCCAGGUAAAUCCGGUUCACUUUAACACUGAGGCGUGAUGACGAGGCACUACGGUGCUGAAGCAACAAAUGCCCUGCUUCCAGGAAAAGCCUCUAAGCAUCAGGUAACAUCAAAUCGUACCCCAAACCGACACAGGUGGUCAGGUAGAGAAUACCAAGGCGCUUGAGAGAACUCGGGUGAAGGAACUAGGCAAAAUGGUGCCGUAACUUCGGGAGAAGGCACGCUGACACGUAGGUGAAGUGAUUUACUCAUGGAGCUGAAGUCAGUCGAAGAUACCAGCUGGCUGCAACUGUUUAUUAAAAACACAGCACUGUGCAAACACGAAAGUGGACGUAUACGGUGUGACGCCUGCCCGGUGCCGGAAGGUUAAUUGAUGGGGUCAGCGCAAGCGAAGCUCCUGAUCGAAGCCCCGGUAAACGGCGGCCGUAACUAUAACGGUCCUAAGGUAGCGAAAUUCCUUGUCGGGUAAGUUCCGACCUGCACGAAUGGCGUAAUGAUGGCCAGGCUGUCUCCACCCGAGACUCAGUGAAAUUGAACUCGCUGUGAAGAUGCAGUGUACCCGCGGCAAGACGGAAAGACCCCGUGAACCUUUACUAUAGCUUGACACUGAACAUUGAGCCUUGAUGUGUAGGAUAGGUGGGAGGCUUUGAAGUGUGG